AGUGAACGCUGGCGGUAGGCCUAACACAUGCAAGUCGAACGGCAGCACAGUAAGAGCUUGUUCUUACGGGUGGCGAGUGGCGGACGGGUGAGGAAUACAUCGGAAUCUACUUUUUCGUGGGGGAUAACGUAGGGAAACUUACGCUAAUACCGCAUACGACCUACGGGUGAAAGCAGGGGAUCUUCGGACCUUGCGCGAUUGAAUGAGCCGAUGUCGGAUUAGCUAGUUGGCGGGGUAAAGGCCCACCAAGGCGACGAUCCGUAGCUGGUCUGAGAGGAUGAUCAGCCACACUGGAACUGAGACACGGUCCAGACUCCUACGGGAGGCAGCAGUGGGAAAUAUUGGACAAUGGGCGCAAGCCUGAUCCAGCCAUACCGCGUGGGUGAAGAAGGCCUUCGGGUUGUAAAGCCCUUUUGUUGGGAAAGAAAAGCAGCAGGUUAAUACCCCGCUGUUCUGACGGUACCCAAAGAAUAAGCACCGGCUAACUUCGUG
RNAcentral lists this ribosomal RNA (492 nucleotides) under uncultured bacterium. Its description in RNAcentral is "partial 16S ribosomal RNA". It matches the Rfam family "Bacterial small subunit ribosomal RNA", at positions 29 to 507 of the family's 1533-position model. The record is from RNAcentral.